Molecule: ribosomal RNA, 497 nt
Filed under: uncultured bacterium
Lineage: Bacteria
Description: partial 16S ribosomal RNA
Rfam family: Bacterial small subunit ribosomal RNA
Source: RNAcentral
GAUGAACGCUGGCGGCGUGCCUAAUACAUGCAAGUCGAGCGAACGGACGAGAAGCUUGCUUCUCUGAUGUUAGCGGCGGACGGGUGAGUAACACGUGGAUAACCUACCUAUAAGACUGGGAUAACUUCGGGAAACCGGAGCUAAUACCGGAUAAUAUUUUGAACCGCAUGGUUCAAAAGUGAAAGACGGUCUUGUUGUCACUUAUAGAUGGAUCCGCGCUGCAUUAGCUAGUUGGUAAGGUAACGGCUUACCAAGGCAACGAUGCAUAGCCGACCUGAGAGGGUGAUCGGCCACACUGGAACUGAGACACGGUCCAGACUCCUACGGGAGGCAGCAGUAGGGAAUAUUCCGCAAUGGGCGAAAGCCUGACGGAGCAACGCCGCGUGAGUGAUGAAGGUCUUCGGAUCGUAAAACUCUGUUAUUAGGGAAGAACAUAUGUGUAAGUAACUGUGCACAUCUUGACGGUACCUAAUCAGAAAGCCACGGCUAACUACGUG